Molecule: long non-coding RNA, 280 nt
Filed under: Ananas comosus (pineapple)
Lineage: Eukaryota; Viridiplantae; Streptophyta; Magnoliopsida; Poales; Bromeliaceae
Description: long non-coding RNA (ACOM_LNC012749)
Source: RNAcentral
CUUAAGGCCCAGAUUGAUUUGAACAUACAGCCGGAGAGGGAGGAGGAGUCGUCGCCGAAAUCGGAUGCUUUAGGCAUUAUGAAACUUAUACGGGAUCCUGCCGCUUAAGACUGUUCUACGUGGCCUUGAAACAGGAUACUAGGCUUCGGGCACACCUUGAAAUAGGAUACUCAGGCUUCGGGCAUACUAUAGUUUCCUGCUACCAUCCUCCAUGUUUGAGGUUUUAGUCGGAGAAUGGUGGAGAUGGUUGGCCUUACAUGGAUUCUCUUCUUGUUAUUUA